AGCUCCAAUAGCGUAUAUUAAAGUUGUUGCAGUUAAAAAGCUCGUAGUUGGAUUUGUGGUGUUCGCAGGCGGCCUGUCACUUAGUGACGGAGCUUGCUUGCGUCGCCAUCCUUGGGUGGAUCCUGUGUGGCAUUAAGUUGUCGCGCUGGGGAUGCCCAUCGUUUACUGUGAAAAAAUUAGAGUGUUCAAAGCAGGCUUACGCCGUUGAAUAUGUUAGCAUGGAAUAAUAAGAUAGGACCUUGGUACUAUUUUGUUGGUUUGCGCACCAAGGUAAUGAUUAAUAGGGACAGUUGGGGGUAUUCGUAUUUCAUUGUCAGAGGUGAAAUUCUUGGAUUUUUGAAAGACGAACUACUGCGAAAGCAUUUACCAAGGAUGUUUUCAUUAAUCAAGAACGAAAGUA
This 400-nucleotide ribosomal RNA is filed under the name phytoplankton environmental sample. RNAcentral's name for it is "partial small subunit ribosomal RNA". It matches the Rfam family "Eukaryotic small subunit ribosomal RNA", at positions 587 to 991 of the family's 1831-position model. The record is from RNAcentral.